Molecule: long non-coding RNA, 395 nt
Filed under: Canis lupus familiaris (dog)
Lineage: Eukaryota; Metazoa; Chordata; Mammalia; Carnivora; Canidae
Description: lncRNA (ENSCAFG00040025445.1)
Source: RNAcentral
AUGAAUUUUUUUCCCCAGAAAUCGCCGGCUGGACAUCCAGAGCACCUAGCCUGUUUUUUUCUGCAUCUUGAAUUGAGCAUUAACAGGACUCUUGAAGCUCUGCCUGCAGCCGAACACAAAGACCUGGAGGAGACUCCCACAUCCUUCGGGGAGAAGAAAGGAGGCAGCGGCGCCGGUUCCGGGAGCUCGUGGCUCGUGGCCUUCGGGAGGGGGGAAGUGGAUCGCGGCGUUGGCGGCGGCGUUGGCGGCGGCGGGCGAGCCGUGAGAUGCGGCGGCGCCGCGGCGGCGCCUGCUGACACCCCGGUCCCCGGCGCCGGCCGCUGCCCUUUGUGCUUCGCGUACAUGUGUCAGCUCGGCGCAUCCGGAGGCGCGCGCACCGGAAUCCAACACGGCCG